This 61-nucleotide transfer-messenger RNA is filed under the name Beta vulgaris subsp. vulgaris (sugar beet). It matches the Rfam family "transfer-messenger RNA", at positions 313 to 374 of the family's 374-position model. From Rfam's summary of the family: Bacterial tmRNA, also known as 10Sa RNA or SsrA, is named for its dual tRNA and mRNA-like properties. Lineage: Eukaryota; Viridiplantae; Streptophyta; Magnoliopsida; Caryophyllales; Amaranthaceae. The record is from Rfam by way of RNAcentral.
CAUGUAGAAAGCUUUUUGAUUGCUUGUUUGGACGAGAGUUCGAUUCUCUCCGACUCCACAA